CUUGCAAUCGGCCUCCCGCGGCAUCCGGUGCCCGGUUUGGCGUGAUCUCUCGCGCGAUCACCCGAACAGCCUCCAAUUCACAAUCCGAAAAUUAAAGGUCUUCGGUUAUGUGCCACGAUGCUUCAAAUCCGUUUUCAUGAGUAUACGACGUCGCCUCGGCCCUCCAGGCGAAAAUGAAGCCUAAACGUCCGUUUCUUUAAUAACUUUGUAACGGCUCGUCGGAUUGCCGAACCGUCUUCGCCAACGCGUUUCGUUACCUAGCAAUUAGGUUUACGGAGGGUCAAAUUAGAUCAAACCCUCAUAUUUUAAAAAUUAGCAUUUUGAACCCUAGGUUUACAACUAGAUAAAAAUCCACCAAAUUUCUUCGUGAAUCAAGCAUCAUUCAUCUAGUUAGCGUGCUAGGAUUCCUCUAAAUCCAUUUGUAAGGUAUUUAGACCAACCAUUAAGGAUCUACCAUUAAAGGGGUUUGAAGCUUACCUCUCAAGCAAGCUCCAAUGGAGAGGAAGAACAUGAAGGAGAUGAAGAUCCAUUUCCAAGCUUGCUUCUCCACCAAUUUCAUCAAUUUUGGGAGAGAAUUAGAGAGAGAAAAGGGAGGUUUUGUCUCUCCCAUUCCAUGUAUGCGUGUGUGUGCGUGAUGCGUGUGUGUGUGUGUUGCAUUCGGCUGAGGAGGAAGGAGGAGAAAAGGGAUUUAAUCCCAUUUUGCAAGUUAGCCCCUCAACUAUUCAACCUUCCAAUUUAGUCNUUUUUCUUCGACAUGAGGGCGACCUAGUCGCUUCGGUAAGCACAACCCACCUGUUAGUGCAUUCCGAUUUCUUGUCGACACUUGCAAUCGGCCUCCCGCGGCAUCCGGUGCCCGGUUUGGCGUGAUCUCUCGCGCGAUCACCCGAACAGCCUCCAAUUCACAAUCCGAAAAUUAAAGGUCUUCGGUUAUGUGCCACGAUGCUUCAAAUCCGUUUUCAUGAGUAUACGACGUCGCCUCGGCCCUCCAGGCGAAAAUGAAGCCUAAACGUCCGUUUCUUUAAUAACUUUGUAACGGCUCGUCGGAUUGCCGAACCGUCUUCGCCAACGCGUUUCGUUACCUAGCAAUUAGGUUUACGGAGGGUCAAAUUAGAUCAAACCCUCAUAUUUUCAAAAUUAACAUUUUUGAGCCCUAACAUGAAAUAACCUCCAAAUAAUCCAAAUUAAAUGGAGCAAUAUGCUAAUAAUGAUCAUUAGAGACUACUAGAACUCUUAAAGCUAAGGAUUAAGCCAAAUCCCAAAAGCUUACCCCAAUGUGAACGCCGCAACGAAAACACGCCGCUCCAACGGGCGCACGAAAGCUCGAUCCGUCGCCUCCAACGCGUUCGCAAGCUCGAUCUCCACCAACCCUCCAAUUUUUAGAGAGAGAUAUAGAGAGAUGAGAGAGAUAUUUAGAGAGAGAAAGGAGGGUUUCUCUCCCCCUUCCAUGCGUGCGUGUGUGUGUCCAUGGUGGCGGUGGUCGGUUGAAGGAGAAGAAGCUGAUGCUUCUAAUUAAAGUCAACACCAACAUUAUUCACUCCAAGCAACUUAAAAUCUGAUAUCUUUCACCGGAGCUCCCUGAAUGUCCGUUUGAGCUCAAACUUGACAGUCAUGUUCGGUUUUACGUACUGAGUAAGAAUAUAUUUUAAGUUUUCAGUUUCGACCCCGUUUGGUUACCGAAAACUGUACCGAACUGUAAUCUUUAUCAGAUAACUGUCGGAUUUUAUUUCUCACUCUACGGGCGUCAGAAAAAUAUGAAACUUUAAAUCUAGCCUCAUUAAAAUAUUACUGACAUCCCCGCCAAUUUUCAUAAUUUUCUGAGACUGUGCAUUUUCUACUAAUUUAUCUGUCCCGUUUCUCACAGAAAAUUUUAAAUUUUUUAUUUUCGCUCCGAUUUCAGCACAAAUCAUUUCUGAUUUAUGUUUUACUCCUCUAAAUCCAAUAAAAAUAGUAUCUCACACUAUUUUUAUUUAUUUUUUAUUUUUAUAUUUAAAAUCCGGUAUGUUACAUUACACCGUAAC
RNAcentral lists this long non-coding RNA (2018 nucleotides) under Ananas comosus (pineapple). RNAcentral's name for it is "long non-coding RNA (ACOM_LNC028079)". Lineage: Eukaryota; Viridiplantae; Streptophyta; Magnoliopsida; Poales; Bromeliaceae. The record is from RNAcentral.